This 605-nucleotide ribosomal RNA is filed under the name uncultured fungus. RNAcentral's name for it is "eukaryotic LSU rRNA". The stretch from base 212 to 366 matches the Rfam family "5.8S ribosomal RNA". The record is from RNAcentral. Lineage: Eukaryota; Fungi.
GGAAGGAUCAUUACAGAAUCGUCAACGGGUUGUUGCUGGUCCUCAAACGGGGACAUGUGCACGCUCUGUUUACACAUCCACUCACACCUGUGCACCCUCCGUAGUUCUGUGGUCUGGGGGACCCUGUCUUCCUGCCGUGGUUCUACGUCUUUACACACACACUGUAAUAAAGUCUUAUGGAAUGUAUGCCGCGUCUAACGCAAUACAAUACAACUUUCAGCAACGGAUCUCUUGGCUCUCGCAUCGAUGAAGAACGCAGCGAAAUGCGAUAAGUAAUGUGAAUUGCAGAAUUCAGUGAAUCAUCGAAUCUUUGAACGCACCUUGCGCCCCUUGGCUAUUCCGAGGGGCAUGCCUGUUUGAGUAUCAUGAACACCUCAACUCUCAUGGUUUGCCGUGAUGAGCUUGGACUCUGGGGGUUUUGCUGGCCUGCGGUCGGCUCCCCUCAAAUGAAUCAGCCUCCCAGUGUUUGGUGGCAUCACGGGUGUGAUAAAUAUCUACGCUCGCAGUUGUCCGCCAGGUAACCUUUGGUAACAAAGGUUCGCUGGAGCUCACAGAUGUCUCUCCUCAGCGAGGACAGCUUUUUGAACGUUCGAUCUCAAAUCAGG